AUUGAACGCUGGCGGCAUGCCUUACACAUGCAAGUCGAACGGCAGCACGGGAGCAAUCCUGGUGGCGAGUGGCGAACGGGUGAGUAAUAUAUCGGAACGUGCCCAGUAGUGGGGGAUAACCGGCGAAAGUCGGACUAAUACCGCAUACGACCUACGGGUGGAAAGCGGGGGAGUCGCAAGACCUCGCGCUAUCGGAGCGGCCGAUAUCAGAUUAGCUUGUUGGUGGGGUAAAAGACCUACCAAGGCGACGAUCUGUAGCUGGUCUGAGAGGACGACCAGCCACACUGGGACUGAGACACGGCCCAGACUCCUGCGGGAGGCAGCAGUGGGGAAUUUUGGACAAUGGGCGCAAGCCUGAUCCAGCCAUGCCGCGUGCGGGAAGAAGGCC
Molecule: ribosomal RNA, 388 nt
Filed under: uncultured bacterium
Lineage: Bacteria
Description: bacterial SSU rRNA
Rfam family: Bacterial small subunit ribosomal RNA
Source: RNAcentral